Molecule: long non-coding RNA, 2550 nt
Filed under: Homo sapiens (human)
Lineage: Eukaryota; Metazoa; Chordata; Mammalia; Primates; Hominidae
Description: HSALNT0253188
Source: RNAcentral
AAUUCUUCAAAGAGGAGAAGAGGAAAAGAGUUGCUACCCUGCAUCAGGUCAUGCUCUACAAGAUGGGCCACCAUAACUGAGUGACACCUGGCCAUAUUUCUUCUUAAGGAAAAUAAAAAUCCAUUGUUAAAAUCACCGUUGCUCUAGAUGCCUACUGCUAAUGUGCUUCUGGAGGAACAGUUUUCAAAUGAGAAGUAACAGGAGCCGCUCUGAUUGAAACAAACUGGUGUUGAUUGCAGAUCAGCCAUCUGUAAAGGAGGCCACCUCGGGAAGGGUGUGAACUAAUGAAAAGAUGGGCCUGAUUUGGGAGCGUGAUGGGCUUUGUGCCACCGGCCUCUGUGAGUGGCAUGAGAUUAUAGCAGUGCGAGGAGAGGUAGAUUGAGAAUAAGUAACUUGUGUCUUAAAGAUUAAAUGGCAAAUUUGCUAUUAAAUGUGAAAGACAUAAAAUGGAAUUAUUGCUUUGAGGACGUUAGCUGUGGCCAUACCCACUCGCAGAGAGCGUGACGACCUGUCCUCCUGUCAACAACGCACCCAUCCCAGCAUGCCGAUUACAGGCCUGGAGAACAGAGUGGUGAACCCUGGGAGUGGCCCACACAGCACCUUCUUCGCAAGGCACUUCCUAUGGCCUCCCUUCCUCCAGUGACCUUCCAGACUGCAAGCAUGCUCACAGAAAUCCUGGGACUGCCACAUCGAGCCUUCUGCGUUCAGGCUGACAAACGUCCCUGGGUUGGAGGAGCUGACUGGCUGGCGCUGCCUUGUGACCAUGUGCCAUGCUGCCAUACCCAAGGGGGCACAGGCGAGGCAGCCAGGUGCACAAGAGUUGUGAUGCCAUGUCAGACACUAAAAACGCAACCAUUUCCCAACCAUGAGACUUCCUGGCAACUUGUCCAGCUCACCUUGGCCUGGAUCUUCUCCUCACAGAGGAGAUCAUGUAGAGAGAAAGAACAUCUAAAUAAAUGCAAGCCCAUUAGCCAACCAACUGACCGAUGGGCCCGGCUUUCCAAACAACCAUGGGCAACAAUAAGAUUAGAAAACAAAAUAUUGUUAGAUCAAAUGAGCUCAGAAAGAACUGAGGGUCUGACUGCAUGAGAUAGUUAAGAACUUUGGGAGGCCCCUGUGUCAACCACUGGCUUCCAAUAACUCCACAUGAAUGUAAGACUCCCAGCGUCAAGGGAGGGAUGCUCCCCCUGUGCAGCUGUAUCCUAGCAAUGCUCUCCCUCUCAUGGCUGCACGGAUAUUGAUGAUAAUGAAGCAUGCUGCACACAGGUGUGCUGUGCUCGUAUCUGCUGCCCCUGGACAGCUGCUGUGGUUACGUGAUAUCUCAACCAGUGUGGCAGGUGAAGGCACGCACCCUUCCCUGGAGUGACAAUGGCACCCUCCUUGCCCUUCCCCCAGCGUGGUCCCCCCUAGACCUCCCCUGACUACUGCAGCCGUUCCUGCUGAGCGCCGAGCAUGCCUGCAGCUCUGCAGUGGCCAUGUGUCCACCGGGGGCUCCGGCCUGCCAUCCCAUCCAACAAUGACUCUCCAGGUGGGGGGAGAGGGCACCAAGGGCACUGCCGCAAAUCCUGCGUCCUUGAUAUCAUCUUGACCUACUGAGAUGCUACUGCUGUUAGCCAGCUCCAGGAUGCAACCCCUAGAUACUUGCAUGUAUUUUAAACCAGAAAAAAAAAUCAGUUGGAAGGUGACAGCUUCCAGAAUCUGGAUCUUAUGCAGUCACACCUGGAAGGAAGGAGGUCUGAGGCCCAUUGGACUGCAUUUGCCUGCAAUCUGUGGCUAGUACUUAAAGGAAGGGGCCAGAACUAGGGUUGGAAUGUGGAACAUUUGAGGUCGCUCUUCACCCUGGUGAUCUUUGCCAAUCAACAGAGGCUUUGAGUAAGCAAUCAGCCCAAAAGCAAUUCAGAAGGGAGGCAACUUAAACAAAUAAAAUAAAUAAAUUCAAAAGGCAAAGCAGCUAAAUAUGAGAAGAAAACAGCGUCGGCUAAUGGUGGGGAUUUAUGAGCAUGAGCUGUGGUUUGAAUCUUAUACGGGGUUAUAAAUAAAGAUGCUGAUGAAAAGCAGAAGUCCUUCCCUAUGUCCACAUCCGUGGUGUUCCUAAAUACUUAUCUCUGGAAUCUGCUGGAAUGUCUAAAGCUGCUAGUCACAUGGACCUGGCUCAAAGUCAUGAUUAGCAGAUGUCCCGUGAGCCACCUUUGCUAGUGUGAGGACAAGUUCAAAUAGCACCAGGGCCUUCUCUCUCUCUCUCUCUCUCUCUCUCUCAUUCUCUCUCUCUCUCUCUCUCUCUCAGAAAUAUUUGGACUAGAAAUGGUUUGGGUCUUGGUGCUAUUAACUGCAUAAUGCAAUGUAACACAGGCUCUAAUUGCUCACAUCUGAUAUUCCAUUUAGAUACAACAAUAGAAAUGUCAAGUUUACCUGUGAUAAAGAAACAGAAAUGUCAUUAGUAGAUUUCCAAAUAAUUUGUCCCUGUGAUUUUUAGCAAUAAAUAACACAGACCUCUCUGUUGCAAAAACUGGCAUCCUGCUUACCUGUUUUCUUCUCUUUUGUCAAUUGUUU